This 117-nucleotide ribosomal RNA is filed under the name Labrus bergylta (ballan wrasse). The record is from RNAcentral. Lineage: Eukaryota; Metazoa; Chordata; Actinopteri; Labriformes; Labridae.
GCUUACGGCCAUACCACCCUGAACACGCCGAUCUCGUCCGAUCUCGGAAGCUAAGCAGGGUCGGGCCUGGUUAGUACUUGGAUGGGAGACCCCUGGGAAUACCAGGUGCUGUAAGCU